GACCUGGUGGUGUGCGGUUACACGCCCGCUUUUCAUGAGGCGGUAUAUUUUCCUUCCAGUGAAGCGGGAGACCCCUGUUCGACUCGGGGCCAGGUCU
Non-coding RNA from Mycena galopus ATCC 62051, 97 nucleotides. Lineage: Eukaryota; Fungi; Basidiomycota; Agaricomycetes; Agaricales; Mycenaceae. The record is from the annotation of a GenBank genome assembly.